Molecule: ribosomal RNA, 394 nt
Filed under: uncultured bacterium
Lineage: Bacteria
Description: bacterial SSU rRNA
Rfam family: Bacterial small subunit ribosomal RNA
Source: RNAcentral
GGAUUAGAUACCCGGGUAGUCCACGCUGUAAACGAUGGGUACUAGGAUUGGUGGGAGUUGACCCCUGCCGAUCCGGAGCUAACGCAAUAAGUACCCCGCCUGGGAAGUACGGUCGCAAGACUAAAACUCAAAGGAAUUGACGGGAGCCCGCACAAGCGGUGGAUUAUGUGGUUUAAUUCGAAGCAACGCGCAGAACCUUACCUAGGUUUGACAUCCUUUGACAAUGUGAGAGAUCACACUUUCGUAGCAAUACGACAAAGAGACAGGUGCUGCAUGGCUGUCGUCAGCUCGUGUGGUGGCAUGUCGGGUUAAGUCCCUCAACGAGCGCAACCCCUGUGUUUAGUUGCCAGCAUUAAGUUGGGCACUCUAGACAGACUGCCGUGGUUAACACGGA